GGACGAACGCUGGCGGCGUGCUUAACACAUGCAAGUCGAGCGGUAAGGCCCUUUUGGGGGUACACGAGCGGCGAACGGGUGAGUAACACGUGGGUGACCUGCCCUCAGCUCUGGGAUAAGCCUGGGAAACUGGGUCUAAUACUGGAUAUGACCUUUCUCGCAUGGGUUGGGUGGAAAGUUUUUCGGCUGGGGGAUGGGCCCGCGGCCUAUCAGCUUGUUGGUGGGGUGAUGGCCUACCAAGGCGACGACGGGUAGCCGGCCUGAGAGGGCGACCGGCCACACUGGGACUGAGACACGGCCCAGACUCCUACGGGAGGCAGCAGUGGGGAAUAUUGCGCGAAUGGGCGGAAGCCUGACGCAGCGACGCG
This 368-nucleotide ribosomal RNA is filed under the name uncultured bacterium. Its description in RNAcentral is "bacterial SSU rRNA". It matches the Rfam family "Bacterial small subunit ribosomal RNA", at positions 27 to 398 of the family's 1533-position model. The record is from RNAcentral.